CUGCGUGUGCGUGGGAGGGGGCGUGAGUGUGUGUGUGUGCGUGGGUUUUGCGCGUGCCGCCGCCUACACGUUGAUCUUAUUUGAUCGGCCCCCGGCCGAGAUGAGAAGAGCCGCGCCGCGAAGCCCCCGGGCGCUGUGCGGCGGGCGGGCGGGAUGAGUCGAUCAGAUAGGCGAGGCCCGGCCCCGCGCCCGGCCCCUGAGCGCGCCGCGAUUCUGAUCCGC
Molecule: small nucleolar RNA, 222 nt
Filed under: Anas zonorhyncha (Eastern spot-billed duck)
Lineage: Eukaryota; Metazoa; Chordata; Aves; Anseriformes; Anatidae
Description: Small Cajal body-specific RNA 2 (ENSAZOG00000002209.1)
Rfam family: Small Cajal body-specific RNA 2
Source: Rfam by way of RNAcentral